This 477-nucleotide ribosomal RNA is filed under the name uncultured Bacteroidota bacterium. RNAcentral's name for it is "bacterial SSU rRNA". It matches the Rfam family "Bacterial small subunit ribosomal RNA", at positions 355 to 828 of the family's 1533-position model. The record is from RNAcentral. Lineage: Bacteria; Pseudomonadati; Bacteroidota.
UGAGGAAUAUUGGGCAAUGGGCGCAAGCCUGACCCAGCCAUGCCGCGUGAAGGAUGAAUGCCCUAUGGGUUGUAAACUUCUUUUGUACGGGACAAAACUCUCGGACGUGUCCGGGAUUGAUGGUACUGUAUGAAUAAGCAUCGGCUAACUCCGUGCCAGCAGCCGCGGUAAUACGGAGGAUGCGAGCGUUAUCCGGAUUCAUUGGGUUUAAAGGGUGCGUAGGCGGAAUAAUAAGUCAGUGGUGAAAGCCUGCGGCUUAACCGUAGAAUUGCCAUUGAUACUGUUAUUCUUGAGUAUAGUUGAAGUAGGCGGAAUGUGUAAUGUAGCGGUGAAAUGCUUAGAUAUUACACAGAACACCAAUUGCGAAGGCAGCUUACUAAGCUGUUACUGACGCUGAGGCACGAAAGCGUGGGGGAGCAAACAGGAUUAGAUACCCUGGUAGUCCACGCUGUAAACGAUGAUCACUCGUUGUUGGCG